This 427-nucleotide ribosomal RNA is filed under the name uncultured bacterium. RNAcentral describes it as "bacterial SSU rRNA". It matches the Rfam family "Bacterial small subunit ribosomal RNA", at positions 355 to 775 of the family's 1533-position model. The record is from RNAcentral.
UCGAGAAUCUUUCACAAUGGGGGCAACCCUGAUGGAGCGACGCCGCGUGGAGGAUAAGGUCUUCGGAUUGUAAACUCCUGUCAUGCGCGAACAAAUACUUCACACUAACACGGUGAAGUCCUGAUAGUAGCGCAAGAGGAAGAGACGGCUAACUCUGUGCCAGCAGCCGCGGUAAUACAGAGGUCUCAAGCGUUGUUCGGAAUCACUGGGCGUAAAGGGUGCGCAGGUGGUCAUGUAAGUCAAAUGUGAAAGACUGGGGCUCAACCUCAGAUUUGCAUGUGAUACUGCGUGACUUGAGAACUGAAGAGGGAUCUUGAAUUCACGGUGUAGCAGUGAAAUGCGUAGAUAUCGUGAGGAACACCAAAGGCGAAAGCAGGAUCCUGGUCAGCUUCUGACACUCAUGCACGAAGGCUAGGGGAGCAAACGG